Long non-coding RNA from Salvia miltiorrhiza (redroot sage), 1096 nucleotides. RefSeq lists it as uncharacterized. Lineage: Eukaryota; Viridiplantae; Streptophyta; Magnoliopsida; Lamiales; Lamiaceae. The transcript has 2 exons. The record is from RefSeq and is a predicted model, not a curated record.
CAAAUAAAAGAACUCCAUCCCAAACUAAUUAAAUACAGCCCAUAUGAAGGAAAAUAAGGGCAGCUCAUACUACUUAAAAUAGAGGCCCAAAAGCUCAUCCUCAAUCGGGCCCAGCUUAACUCCUAAUUGCAGCCCAUCAUAACAUACUCUCAGCCCAAACACCAGCUUGCCCAAACACCAAAUUAAUUCACGCUGAACUCCUUUUCUUCAAGGUUUCAAGCAGAGAACCAAGAUCGGCGGUGUACUCCAGCCAGCCGUUGUCGCCUCCACGCCGAACCGCCGCCGCUCUGAAAUUCCGGUGGGGCCUCCCCUCCGACUCACUCUCCCCCUCACAAUCUCUUCCUCUUAAUUCCUCAAUCCAGACUACCCUUUUCUUCUAAAUUUCGUGCCCUAGCUCUUCUUCCUCAGAAAUCAGCUGCCGCCGUCACUGAAGAAUCGGCGAACAAUCGCCGCUGCGUGUCGGAACUCGUCCGAAAAUCACCGCGGCGUACAGCUCCUCCGUUGUGUUGUCACGCCCUCGACCCUGGCCUCGAAUGCUGCCGCUCUGUCUCGCUAGCACCUUUGCCGCCGCCCUAAAAUCGGCGAGGUCGCCGUGCUCCCCUCCCUGUGUUCGUCCGACGGGUAGCAAGCCAGAGGCUGCCACCGCCAAGCGGGCAGUCGCCCUCCUCCUUGUUUAAUGGAACAGGGGAAUCAAGAAUGGACUGGUGGAAAACUUAAGCCAAUGCUUACCUGUUCAAAGUUUGGCAGCAGUAAUUGAAGUCUCUCAUUCCUUUGGUUGUUGAUGAACUAAGGAAUGAAUGAAAGGGCUGAUAGCCUUAAAGAAUCGAAUAUGGUGAAGGUGGUGGGUAGCUGAGGGGAUGGGAUGUCAUAGGGUGGUUGAUUGACUCUCUAGGUGUACCUUGGGUAUGGCCUUGAAGCUGCCCCAGCUGCAGAGAAGGGAUGGGAGCUGCUGUUGCAGCUGCCCUUGUACAGGACGUCCCUUGCGCCCUUUUCUUCCUCUCUGCCCUUUUUUCUCAUUUUUGUUGCUGCGUGUGCAAGCUAGAUAGUAGGAGUAAAGUUGUAUUGUAACUAGGAACGAAUCCUUAUGUCUUGUAUU